This 425-nucleotide ribosomal RNA is filed under the name uncultured bacterium. Its description in RNAcentral is "partial 16S ribosomal RNA". It matches the Rfam family "Bacterial small subunit ribosomal RNA", at positions 354 to 796 of the family's 1533-position model. The record is from RNAcentral.
GUGGGGAAUCUUGCGCAAUGGGCGAAAGCCUGACGCAGCCAUGCCGCGUGAAUGAUGAAGGUCUUAGGAUUGUAAAAUUCUUUCACCGGGGACGAUAAUGACGGUACCCGGAGAAGAAGCCCCGGCUAACUUCGUGCCAGCAGCCGCGGUAAUACGAAGGGGGCUAGCGUUGCUCGGAAUUACUGGGCGUAAAGGGCGCGUAGGCGGACAGUUAAGUUGGGGGUGAAAGCCCGGGGCUCAACCUCGGAACUGCCUUCAAUACUGGCUGUCUUGAGUAUGAGAGAGGUGUGUGGAACUCCGAGUGUAGAGGUGAAAUUCGUAGAUAUUCGGAAGAACACCAGUGGCGAAGGCGACACACUGGCUCAUUACUGACGCUGAGGCGCGAAAGCGUGGGGAGCAAACAGGAUUAGAAACCCGAGUAGUCC